Molecule: long non-coding RNA, 1282 nt
Organism: Physeter macrocephalus (sperm whale)
Lineage: Eukaryota; Metazoa; Chordata; Mammalia; Artiodactyla; Physeteridae
Exons: 3
Source: RefSeq, a predicted model, not a curated record
AGUCUCCCCUGCUUCUGUUUUCUUGGAUAGGAAAGGCUUCCGAAACAGGGAAGUUCGAUUUUUUCAUUUUAAAUUCUGACACCAAGAAGUGGUGAAUCCGCCAACCAGGAAUGCGCGUCGGGCCUCGAUGCGGCAGCCUGACUGGAAGCGGUCGCAGCUUGCGGCAUCGUAGAAAUUGCUGGUCCUGAAGCGCCUUGCGGGCGUUGACCCGAUUUUCCCCUGGCUCCUUCCUUCGACUAGGAAAGAGGGCUACCUUAUAAUAAUAGGAAGAGCCCCGCGCCACCAAUGCGGAGCCGCCUUACACUGAGGCCGCCAACGAGAUUUUUGGCGUCGCAGUGGCCUGCAGGGUCAGCGUUAGCGUCCCUCCCUCCUUUCUUCUACCUGUACCUUCUCCGAUGCUAGCUAAAGGCAGUCAUUACUCUAUAGGAAAGUUAACAGGGGACUAAAGAGGACAACCACAAAGUGCAAUGUGUGAUCUUGAAUUGGAUCCUGGAAGAGGGGUUCAAAAUUGCUGUAAAGGAUAUUCUGGGGGCAAUUGAUGAAAUUCUAAUAUAAACAAUAUGUUAGGCAUAGGAAAAAUUGACUUUGGAAAAUGGCAGAGCGAGGAUUUCAACCCAAGGAGUCUGUCCCCAACCUUAAGAGUCUGAGCUCUGGACUUCCCUGGUGGUGCAGUGGAUGAGAAUCCGCCUGCCAAUGCAGAGGACACGGGUUCGAGCCCUGGUCUGCAAAGAUCCCACAUGCCGCGGAGCAACUAAGCCCAUGUGCCACAACUACUGAAGUGCGCGCGCCUAGAGCCCGUGCUCCGCAACAAGAGAAGCCACCGCAGUGAGAAGCACGGGCACCUCAACGAAGAGUAGCCCCCGCUCACCGCAACUAGAGAAAGCCCGCGCAGAGCAACAAAGACCCAAUGCAACCAAAAAUAAAUAAAAUUAAAAAAAAAAAAAAGGAGUCUGAGCUCUUAACGAUUUUUCUUGAUUUCGUAAGUUGAGAAAAAAGAAAGAGCAAAAAUAGAUGAGAAGACAUACAGGAGGAAUAUAGUACGUUAAUGAGUUUGAAUGAGUGCAGAUACACAGAAGCAAGGUCAAUAAUUCACAGAUUCAAUUUUAGCUUUAUCUUUUUUUAAGCAUAAGAAAAAUAGGGGAGGUAUAAUUUCUUUAAUAGUUUUCUGUUUAAAGGAAGCAAAAAUUCAGUCCAGAGACCUGCCUUUCUCUCUUACCCACUACCAGAUGUUCAUAAAGACCUAUUAAGUAAGAUUUGAUUUUCUACCAAAGCCAAACUGAGA